GGCCGUCUGAUCUUGGAUUUUCAGUUUCCAAGACUGUGAGCUGCAUAAAUCUCUUUUCAUUGUGCAUUAUCCAGCUAUUUCAUCACAGUAACGGGAAAUGAACUAAUACAUAUGGGAAAGAAAUUUUCAUUUCAAGUAUAGACUUUCCCCCGUCUCCAUUAUCUCUCACAAAAUUUGCUUUCUAACUAAGGCAAGGUAACAGAGUGGGGGCUAAAGACUAGAAAGGAGAUGCACUAUUAGGAAUGAUAUCCAAAUGAUAUUUGUGAUCUCAAGGCUGUAUCUUUUGCUUUUGUAAGGAUUGAUUAACUCUGGCUAUGCUGAAGAGUACUUAUUUUCUCUCUCUCUUUUCCUGUCUCUCACAUCACCAGUGGAACCCAAUGAAACAGUGAUUGGCUGAUGAAAUCUAUCAUGACUGCCAGACACAAAGAAAUGGACUUUCCUGGUGCUGGAAUUCAAGAGAAAGACCUCCAGAAAAGGGAGAGGCCCUGCCGACUCCAAGAUGGGAAAGGAAGGCAGGGGUCCAGGACAAGGUCAAUGUCAUAGCAAUGCCUCAUGCCAAAAAGUGUUGCCCUUUCCAAGGACACCUUUCCUGUGGGGGUGCACAGACCCAGACGCGGAGAUAGUUUUGAUUCUCGGUUGGUUGGACCUGAUGACAUGAAACUACUGAUAUGGAAGGUUCACUGUUCUUAGAUGGACCACCCUCAUCUGUUGCUGGCCAAUGGAGAAGUCAUCACACAGCAUCACAGGAUGACAGAGC
This 757-nucleotide long non-coding RNA is filed under the name Heterocephalus glaber (naked mole-rat). RNAcentral's name for it is "lncRNA (ENSHGLG00100044746.1)". The record is from RNAcentral. Lineage: Eukaryota; Metazoa; Chordata; Mammalia; Rodentia; Bathyergidae.